This 253-nucleotide ribosomal RNA is filed under the name uncultured bacterium. RNAcentral describes it as "partial 16S ribosomal RNA". It matches the Rfam family "Bacterial small subunit ribosomal RNA", at positions 524 to 776 of the family's 1533-position model. The record is from RNAcentral.
UACGUAGGGGGCAAGCGUUGUCCGGAGUUACUGGGCGUAAAGCGCACGCAGGCGGUCGAUUAAGUUUGGAGUGACAGUUGGUGGCUUAACUGCCAAAGUGCUUCGAAAACUGAUCGACUUGAGGGCUUCAGAGGGACACGGAAUUCCGGGUGGAGUGGUGAAAUGCGUAGAGAUCCGGAGGAACACCGAAGGCGAAGGCAGUGUCCUGGGGAGUACCUGACGCUCAGGUGCGAAAGCCAGGGGAGCAAACGGG